Harpia harpyja (harpy eagle) is the source of this 1572-nucleotide long non-coding RNA. RefSeq lists it as uncharacterized. The record is from RefSeq and is a predicted model, not a curated record. NCBI's taxonomy places the organism in Eukaryota, Metazoa, Chordata, Aves, Accipitriformes, Accipitridae. The transcript has 3 exons.
GGCCGCCGCCGCGCAGGGGGCGCGCGGCUCCGCGGGGCUCCGCGCCGCACCGCGCCGUCUGUUGCCGUCAACUUUUGCUCCUCUUGGGAGCGCCUGGCUGCUGGCCGGUCCUGCCCGGCAGCCGAGGCUGGGCGUGGUGGUACAGACAAGAGCCUUGCCGGCACAGCUCUGGAGCUUGUGGAGAAAGGCAGCUUCGUGGAUCAUCUUAGAAACAAGUCCCUGCUACCAAGGAUCAUGGUUCCUAACUCCAAGCCUGAAAUGAAAAUGGAAAACCCUAUUUAACUGAAGUAUAUCCAUACAAAAUUACUCAUACUGACCUCAUAAAUCAAAAUGGGAUAUAUUUUGAAGAGAGAUACUUUUAAGUUAAAUAUGGACCUGUCGAAGUAGAUUUAUUCUUUCCUACAUGAAUUAUCAGAUGAAGUUCUGUUAGGUCUGUUAUGCAAGAGAUCACACGUAUGAUCUCUUUUGCUCUGAAAAAGUUAAGAAUCAAUACAGGAAAGAGACAAAGUGAAGUUUCCACUCUUGGUGCAAACUGGCAAAGCCUUACUCCUGGGGAACAAGGUGACGGGUUUACAGGAAGCAGUUCUUGUGGUUAGACUCUUUCAAAACACCUGUUUGAACUGAAACUGAGAAAGAUAUGAAGAAUCAGCUCUGCCAACAUUGAAAAUGUUUAGAUUUCCCUGCUUGUGGUGAAUUUUAACUGUGUUCACCCUGGUAAAGUCAGAGUCAGUUAAAAAUAAAAUAAUCAUGCUGAAAUCCUAAGAUAUUGGUUGGUUUUUAUAUUUUUGACCGUAGUAUUUAUGCAAUUUGUAUACUGCAUGCAAAGCUGUUAAUACUCAUUUACAGCAUUUUCUUAGGAUCCUGUUCAGAAGCUCUUAACAAUUGCUUAUUUUUCACUCCAAUUAUAUCAGCAUAUCUUCCAAUAUCAGUUACACGCCAUCCAUCUUUCCACUUCACAAGACCAGGAAUUUACAGUAGUAUAUUUUCUUUAUAAUUGAAAUUUCAGAAGAUGUCGUUGGCAGCACACAGGUUUGUUUCUAGGACUCCCUUUUGUGGAUUUUCCCAUCAGCCAUCUCUUCAACCUGUUCAUCAUGCUCAAAAGUUUCUGAGGGCCAGGGAUUCCUAAGCUGUUUCGAGGCAACCCAAGAGCAAGAAUGGGCUUCAGCGAAGAAGACAGACAGAUGAGAGGUGGAAGGAAUACGCAGGCAAAAUAAAAUGCUCUAGGAAGGAAGCAGGAGGCAGAAGACCUACCUACAGAUCAAUGCUUCAAAUCCUCCUAUUAGCAGCCUCUGAGGCACCAGGCACUAUAGGUCAGGAACAAGAUGAUUCUUCAAAUGUGUAUCACUCUCAUGCAGUAGUUUAAAAAGCAAGGUUCUAUUCCAACCGAAGAUUUUCCACUUUAAGUGGAUGCUGACCUUCCAGCUAAACAUUCUUUUUGCCUUAUGGAAGCAGUCUGAUUUUAUAAUUUUUUAAUGUUGUUCUACUGGAAAAAAGCAAAACUCGGAAUAUAGAUAUUUUAUUUAUCAGGAAAUGAAUGAAUUUUCUGGGGAAAUCCCAGUUUUCCUAUUCAUA